This 335-nucleotide ribosomal RNA is filed under the name uncultured Leptolinea sp. Its description in RNAcentral is "bacterial SSU rRNA". It matches the Rfam family "Bacterial small subunit ribosomal RNA", at positions 1032 to 1382 of the family's 1533-position model. Lineage: Bacteria; Bacillati; Chloroflexota; Anaerolineae; Anaerolineales; Anaerolineaceae. The record is from RNAcentral.
ACACAGGUGCUGCAUGGCUGUCGUCAGCUCGUGUCGUGAGAUGUUGGGUUAAGUCCCGCACGAGCGCAACCCUCGCUGUGUGUUAUAUGUGUCACACGGGACUGCCGGUCUUAAGCCGGAGGAAGGUGGGGAUGAUGUCAAGUCAGCAUGGCCUUUAUAUCCUGGGCUACACACACGCUACAAUGGCCAACACAAUAGGUUGCUAAGCCGCGAGGUGGCGCCAAUCCAUAAAGUUGGUCUCAGUUCAGAUUGUAGGCUGCAACCCGCCUGCAUGAAGAUGGAGUUGCUAGUAACCGCAGGUCAGCUAUACUGCGGUGAAUACGUUCCCGGGGCUU